Molecule: ribosomal RNA, 601 nt
Filed under: Burkholderia contaminans
Lineage: Bacteria; Pseudomonadati; Pseudomonadota; Betaproteobacteria; Burkholderiales; Burkholderiaceae
Description: bacterial SSU rRNA
Rfam family: Bacterial small subunit ribosomal RNA
Source: RNAcentral
GCAGUGCUUGCACCUGGUGGCGAGUGGCGAACGGGUGAGUAAUACAUCGGAACAUGUCCUGUAGUGGGGGAUAGCCCGGCGAAAGCCGGAUUAAUACCGCAUACGAUCUACGGAUGAAAGCGGGGGACCUUCGGGCCUCGCGCUAUAGGGUUGGCCGAUGGCUGAUUAGCUAGUUGGUGGGGUAAAGGCCUACCAAGGCGACGAUCAGUAGCUGGUCUGAGAGGACGACCAGCCACACUGGGACUGAGACACGGCCCAGACUCCUACGGGAGGCAGCAGUGGGGAAUUUUGGACAAUGGGCGAAAGCCUGAUCCAGCAAUGCCGCGUGUGUGAAGAAGGCCUUCGGGUUGUAAAGCACUUUUGUCCGGAAAGAAAUCCUUGGCUCUAAUACAGUCGGGGGAUGACGGUACCGGAAGAAUAAGCACCGGCUAACUACGUGCCAGCAGCCGCGGUAAUACGUAGGGUGCGAGCGUUAAUCGGAAUUACUGGGCGUAAAGCGUGCGCAGGCGGUUUGCUAAGACCGAUGUGAAAUCCCCGGGCUCAACCUGGGAACUGCAUUGGUGACUGGCAGGCUAGAGUAUGGCAGAGGGGGGUAGAAUUC